AGAUGUGAGAAUGAUCUGGCUGUGAUAUCUGUCACACCAUUGAUUGGCAGGGUUGAUUUGGCUGGUCGGGCUGGCCAGAGAGGUGUCCCGUACUUCCCUCACUGCUCCAUGUGCGUCUCUUCCAAAGCUGUAUACUCAGUGAAAAAGAAUGACCAUCCUCUGAGAGAACCAUUUUUUUUGAUACUGGUAUAUGAAUAGCUGCACCCCACAGCUGAAACCUCCAAGCCAGCUCUCAAGAAAAUUGGCAUCUGGUAAAAUCUGUGAUAAAUCAAUAGUCAACAUCAUACUUACCUGAGAAAAACUUAAAAUUUGCCCUC
This 317-nucleotide small nuclear RNA is filed under the name Cavia aperea (Brazilian guinea pig). RNAcentral's name for it is "7SK RNA (ENSCAPG00000002771.1)". It matches the Rfam family "7SK RNA". From Rfam's summary of the family: 7SK was discovered as an abundant small nuclear RNA in the mid-70s but a possible function has only recently been suggested. Two independent studies have found that 7SK RNA binds the CDK9/cyclin T complex (known as elongation factor P-TEFb). The record is from RNAcentral. Lineage: Eukaryota; Metazoa; Chordata; Mammalia; Rodentia; Caviidae.